Molecule: long non-coding RNA, 593 nt
Organism: Melospiza melodia melodia
Lineage: Eukaryota; Metazoa; Chordata; Aves; Passeriformes; Passerellidae
Exons: 3
Source: RefSeq, a predicted model, not a curated record
UCUGGUUCCACCCCAGAGCACAGCCCUGGCACAGGUCCAUCCUGAUGGACGUGUUGGGGAGUCUGUGGGAGCAUGCUGACAGCUCUGUAAGCAGAGCCAUCUCUAUGGGACCUGCUGGAAUGUUCCCUCUUGUGUCCAGUUCUGCUACUUUGGGCUUCUCACAAGUGUGGCUUUUAAGAAGAUGGUAGAAAAGACCUAGCCAGAACCAGUAUUUGUCCACCAAACCAAAGGUAUCAUUUUCAGAAGCACUCAAUGUGAGACAGACCAGUUUGAGAAUGCUGGAAACUCUGCAAGACUUCACUGCACCCAGGAUGAAAGCAAUGGAACAUUGGUGUGGAAGAAUUCAGGGAGCUGAAGCAGAGACCAGUGCUAUUGAUGCUGACAAUGCCAAGGUCCUCGAUUCUGCAAAAAUAAACUGGGUAAUAAACGGAAGGCCCUUUAUCUCACAUGUAAAUAAGAGCAGCGUGCAACAGGGUCAGAUGGAGUUGUGAGCUGAGGACGUUUCCAGCAGGAAAAACCACCACCAUUAGCAUGGUUUCUCCCUGGAUGCUCUGCAGUUUUAGAGGUUUGACAAUAUUGCAUUCAGAGGCAUG